This 330-nucleotide ribosomal RNA is filed under the name uncultured eukaryote. Its description in RNAcentral is "partial 18S ribosomal RNA". It matches the Rfam family "Eukaryotic small subunit ribosomal RNA", at positions 1470 to 1796 of the family's 1831-position model. The record is from RNAcentral.
CCCUUAGAUGUUCGGGGCCGCACGCGCGCUACACUGAAGGAAUCAGCACGUCUUUCUCCUUGUCCGAAAGGACUGGGUAACCCGCUGAACCUCCUUCGUGCUAGGGAUUGGGGCUUGUAAUUCUUCCCCAUGAACGAGGAAUUCCCAGUAAGCGCGAGUCAUAAGCUCGCGUUGAUUACGUCCCUGCCCUUUGUACACACCACCCGUCGCUACUACCGAUUGGAUGGUUUAGUGAGAUCCUCGGAUUGGUCCCGGAGCGGCCUCUGGUCGUGCCGGAGUGCCGAAAAGAAUGUCGAACUUGAUCAUCUAGAGGAAGUAAAAGUCGUAACA